ACUGAAUAGAUACCCUGGUAGUCCACGCCGUAAACGAUGGAUGCUAGCUGUUAUAGGUAUCGACCCCUGUAGUAGCGAAAGCUAACGCGUUAAGCAUCCCGCCUGUGGAGUACGGUCGCAAGACUAAACAUAAAGGAAUUGACGGGGACCCGCACAAGCGGUGGAGCGUGUUGUUUAAUUCGAUGGUAAACGAAGAACCUUACCCAGGUUUGACAUCCUUGGAAUUUCUCCGAAAGGAGAGAGUGCUUUAUUGAGCCAAGUGACAGGUGAUGCAUGGCCGUCGUCAGCUCGUGUCGUGAGAUGUUUGGUUAAGUCCAUCAACGAGCGCAACCCUUGUGAUUAGUUGAAUUUUUCUAAUCAGACUGCCCUGGUAACAGGGAGGAAGGAGGGGAUGAUGUCAGGUCAGUAUUUCCCUUACAUCUGGGGCUACAACACGCUACAAUGGCCGGUACAAAGGGCAGCCAAGUCGCGAGACGGAGCAAAUCCCAUCAAAGCCGGUCUCAGUUCGGAUUGCAGGCUGAAACUCG
Molecule: ribosomal RNA, 527 nt
Filed under: uncultured bacterium
Lineage: Bacteria
Description: bacterial SSU rRNA
Rfam family: Bacterial small subunit ribosomal RNA
Source: RNAcentral